RNAcentral lists this transfer RNA (88 nucleotides) under Flavobacteriales bacterium. Its description in RNAcentral is "tRNA-Ser". It matches the Rfam family "tRNA". From Rfam's summary of the family: Transfer RNA (tRNA) molecules are approximately 80 nucleotides in length. Their secondary structure includes four short double-helical elements and three loops (D, anti-codon, and T loops). Lineage: Bacteria; Pseudomonadati; Bacteroidota; Flavobacteriia; Flavobacteriales. The record is from RNAcentral.
GGAGGUGUGGCAGAGUGGUCGAAUGCACUGGUCUUGAAAACCAGCGUACCGCAAGGUACCGGGGGUUCGAAUCCCUCCGCCUCCGCAA